This 496-nucleotide ribosomal RNA is filed under the name uncultured bacterium. RNAcentral describes it as "partial 16S ribosomal RNA". It matches the Rfam family "Bacterial small subunit ribosomal RNA", at positions 30 to 523 of the family's 1533-position model. The record is from RNAcentral.
AUUGAACGCUGGCGGAAUGCUUUACACAUGCAAGUCGAACGGUAGAGGGGGCAACCCCUCGAGAGUGGCGAACGGGUGAGUAAUAUAUCGGAACGUGCCCAGUCGUGGGGGAUAACGUAGCGAAAGUUACGCUAAUACCGCAUACGAUCUAAGGAUGAAAGCGGGGGAUCGCAAGACCUCGCGCGAUUGGAGCGGCCGAUAUCAGAUUAGAUAGUUGGUGGGGUAAAGGCUCACCAAGCCAACGAUCUGUAGCUGGUCUGAGAGGACGACCAGCCACACUGGAACUGGGACACGGUCCAGACUCCUACGGGAGGCAGCAGUGGGGAAUUUUGGACAAUGGACGCAAGUCUGAUCCAGCCAUUCCGCGUGCAGGAUGAAGGCCCUCGGGUUGUAAACUGCUUUUGUACGGAACGAAAAGGUCUCUCUUAAUACGGGGGACUCAUGACGGUACCGUAAGAAUAAGCACCGGCUAACUACGUGCCAGCCGCCGCCGUAA